RNAcentral lists this long non-coding RNA (8869 nucleotides) under Malus domestica (apple). RNAcentral's name for it is "long non-coding RNA (MDOM_LNC010304)". Lineage: Eukaryota; Viridiplantae; Streptophyta; Magnoliopsida; Rosales; Rosaceae. The record is from RNAcentral.
UGCUUGAAAGAGUAAUCGAGUACACUGAACAACGAUCAAAAGAGAGUUCGAGCAUACAUGUCAUGUAAGAACUCGUUAGUUGCAAUAUGCAAAGUACUCUUUUGACCUGAGACAUCAUAGAUGUCUAAUGGUUAGGUCCUUGAUCUUUGAUCAUGUCAAAGGCAUUCCAUCAAGAGUGUCCACGGCAUUGUUGGGGUCAAGCUAUCUAGUCAUGUAGGCAUAUGAAUACACAACAAGGGAUCUCUAACCUUCCAUGGUGGAAGGAGAAUACUCUAAGAUAUGAUUCGGGAGUCUUUGGCCAAAGCAUACGAAUAUGACUUAGGAAGUAUGUUCCAAAUCCUAUAAAGAAGUAUCACAUUGGAUAGUAGACAUGAAACAAACUAUCACUCAAACAAUGUGAUUAAAAGUAUUGUAUUAGAGAAGAACCGUAUUGCAUUGUAAUUGUAACUGGAUAGGUUCUCCAACCACUUCUACUUAGCUUGGGUAGCCAUGACAUACUGCUAGGUGUCACUCAUGGUUUGUGGAAGCCCUGAGGAUUAGCAAACACUAAUCUUCAACAAAGGGAGAAUUGAAAUGUUGUUUUAAUUCACAAUCGAUCGUUAAGAGUAACAAUCGCCCAUUGCCUCGCUAAUUGGAACCUAAUGGAUCGUACACCGAGUAAGGAUGAAAGUGAAGAAAUAUAAAUGAGAUGGAUAGGCAAUUAAAUGGUUUAAUUGAGAAUGGUCAAGAUUAAUUAAGUAGUUAAUUAAUUUUACGAAAGGUUCGUAUUGGGCUUUUAAGUUAGUUUUGGGCUACGGGGUCCAAAAAGGUUUGGUCCACUAGGCCCAUUAUGUUUAAGUUGUAUGACAACUAAAACAAAUAUGGGCAAAUAGCCCAAUCACUUAAGAUGGCCGGCCAUAGCAAGGGUAGUGGGAAGUUUUGCUUAAUUGCAAGUUUUCCACUCACCUAAGAAAAGGGAUAUAAAAGCAUCUUUGUAGCUUUUACCUCAUUAGGGUUUUCUUGAGACAAAAAUGAGAAACACUUUCUCUCUUUUUCUCUAAAGGAGGCCGGCCACUUAGAGAAGAUAUAGCUAGCAAUCUUUUCUUCUCUAAGUCAUCCAUUUCAUCUUCACACCUCAUCCUUGGUGUGGAGACUUAGAGACACCAAAUCUUUGGUGUUUUUGGAGAUCCCUUCCUCCCAUCCUCAAGGAGCAAAGGAGCAUCAAAAGGAAGAAAAUCACAAGGAAGAUCCAAGGAGCUAGGAGGUGACUUGAAGGCCCUCCACUUGGGUGAAUCCCUUGUGUAAACAAUGAUGAGCUUCAAGGGUAAUGAAUCUCUAAAUCCUUCCUUCUCUUCAAUGUUGUUGAAGAGUCUCAUGGUUCACCAUUCACUAGGCUUUGAAAGUCAUGGGUUUUAGAAUUGUUUUUGAAUGCAUGCCUACUUUAAUAUGUUAAUAGUUUGCCUAUGUGUUCAAAUAUUCUCACAUGUUCUUAGCUAGGACAAAAUGUUUCCUUCAGGAGAGACUGCUAAUCUACUCAAAUUAGACUCAAUUACACUUAACUAGACUUAAAAACACUAAACUAGACUCUUAUGACUCAAACUACUCAAAACUACACAAAACAAACAAACUGACUCCAAACUAACACUAAGGAUGACUUUAGACGAAAAUUGAACUAAAAAGACUCAACACAAUGUGUAUGGACGAAUUCUAACUUAUGUUGACUCAAAAUAUUAAAAAGAAACAAGUUUGGACAGAUUCUAACGAAAAGACACGAAAUAUAAAGGGGGAAGUGGUUGUUGACGAAUUUAAAGUAAAAGCAAACAGAUUGAAAGACUCUAAACAACUUUGGAUGAAAUUGAGUGUUUUCAUGGGUGAAUGGCUAGCUAGAGGGUCAUUCUCUACACAUGACACAUAUGCAUACAAAUCAAUUUUCAAUUAUUCUUCCUAUAAACCAUGAAUGACAAUGCCCCAAGUUAACCAUGAAUUGCACAAAUUAACCAUCAGAUUUUCCUAAAUUCAUUGAAUUGGACUCAGUGACACAACCAAAUUAUUCUUAUCAAGUUCCCUACAUGAAUUGCAUAAUAGAGAUACAUAUCAAAGAUCAUUAAGUUCUAUGAAAAUAAUAAGCAUUGACAAGGCAUCCGUAACUAUGAACUGCAUGAUACUCCUGCCAAGAAUUUACUUAACACGAUCGUGACUAGCAACCUCCACUACUUGCAAAUAUAAGUUCAUAACUAUUAGGUGAAAUUCCUUUAUAUUCUAGCAUCAAAUCCCUGCAUGCAAACUAAGUAUGCAUCCUCAAUCAACACACAAGAACAAGUUCUCCAUAAAAUAGAUAAGUAAAUUGCAUUCAUGAUUUAUGAAACAAUAACUGGAUGUAAUCAAUUCAGAUCACACAUAUGUUCAUGGCUUUGAAUUCGCCUCUAGCUAAAACGAAAUUAGUUCCACAUGCUCACAAUUAAACAAAACCAAUAUAAUUUAAACAUUGAAAUAAAACUAAGGAUAGAAAGAACCCAAAAACGCUCCAUCACUCCAAUGGCCUUGGAUGGCAGGCACGGCACAAAACUCCUUCUUCUCAUUCCUUCCUUGCCUGUGACACAAUUCUAUAUUUUUCUGAUUUUUAGGCUCUUAUGUGUGUGGUACUCUGAAUGGUGUGAAUUUGGUGUAUAUAUAUAGCUAAGGCAGGGCAUAAAGGUUGUAGUGGAGAAAGAUUUGGCAUGACAGAUUCCUAGGGAGAAAUGGAUAAUGUGGUUCGGCACAAAUCUUCUAGAAAGGGGGUGUUGUGGCAGGUUUCUAGAAUUCUGAUAUUAGGUGUUCUAAUGUGAAAAUAAUUCCCCCAUGCAGCUGGAAAUAAGGUAGACUAAGAUUAGGAUAAGAUAGGAUAAGAUAAGGUUGGUUUGGAUAAUGUUUGGAUAAUGUUCCUUCCUUUUAGCUAUUCCUUAUCUUCCAAGCCUUGAUUUAAUUUCUCCAAAACUUUAGCACAUUCCUAGCCUCUUUUGAUCUUCAAAAACAUCAAUCCACCUUGCUCCAUACAUGUGCUAUCCAUUCUUGGCCCAAAACUGUUCUAAAUUGCUCUAAAUUGCCUUUUCUUGCCAACUUUGUCAUUUGAACCUGAAAACACACGAAAAUAGUUUAAAACACUCUAAUAAGUAGAAACUAACUACGUAAAUGCAAGGAAAUAAGCUAACUAAGUCGCAUAAAUAUGCUUUUAUCAUUUGUCCAUCUCUUGAUAUUUCUUCACGUUCAUUUUUACACAGUGUGCAAUCCAUUAGAUUCCAAUUAGUGAGGCAGUGGGUGAUUGUAACUCUAAACAAUCAAAACACGAACCAAACCGGACCGCCCCAAACAGUUCGCUUUCUGCGAUUUUGAAACGAUUGAGAAAAACGGUUUGGUUUUGGUCUUGGCCAUCUGAAACAGAACUACACCGCAAAAAAUACUCGUAAUAAAUUGUUGUGGUCUAAUUGGUUGUUUACUUGAGUCCAUACAUUUUAUCGUUUUUUGUUUAAGUUAUUCAUUCCUCCUCUCAUAUUCCAAGCAGUUGACAUGGUGAAACUGAAGGAAAUUUUGUGAAAAACAUGUUCAUUUGAGCAACAUCUAUGACAUGCAAUUAACAAUUAAAGGCGGAAUCAUGCUUGUAUGCACUCAAAAACAAAACAUUACCCAUGAAAUUCAAAGCCUAGUAGAAGGGUGAACCAAGACUCAACUCAAGAACAAAGUGAGUUGAGAGAUUUUAUACCUUUGUUGAUUCCUCUUUGCAUAAGCAAGGGCUAAUCACCCAAGGAGAGGGCCUUCAUUCCUUGCUUCUUAGAUCCAUGGAUUUCUUGGAUGAGGAUGAUUGAAAGGAUUCUCCAAGUUCCCAAAAUUGAGAACCUCUAAUUUAUCCACACCAAGGAAGGACUUGAAGAAGAGAUGAGUAACCUUGGAGGAUGAGAGAUUGCUAGCUAAUCUCCUCCAAGGGGGCCGGCCUCUUAGAGAGAAAGAGAGAGACAUUGUGUUCUCAUCUUUUCUCUAAAAGAAACCCUAAUGAAGAAAAGGCUAUAAGGUCAUAUUUAUACCUACCUUCAUUGGAGUGGCAAACUUGUAAUAAGUCCAAAACCCACUCCUUUAUCAAUAUGGCCGGCCAUAGGGUGUUAUUGGGCUGUUCAGGCCUUUGUGCAUAUUUAGUCAUUAAGUUGUCAUACAACUUAAGUCAAUGGUCUUGACGUUCGAAGCCCAUUGGGCCUUGAGGCCCAAAACUAACCCGAGGUCUUUAACGAACUUUAUUCGUUUGAUUAAUUAACAUAUUAAUUAAUCAUUACCAUAAAUAAUUAAACCAUUUAAUUAUCCUUACUCAUCUUCGUUGUUUCUUCAAUCUCUACCUUACACGGUGUACGAUCCAUUAGGUUCCUUUUAGCGAGGCAAUGGGCAAUUAGAACUCUUUCAAAUCGAUUGUGAAUUGAAACUUACUUUCAAUUCUCCCUUUAGUGUUUAUACACGUUUAGGGCUUCCACAAACCAUGAGUGACACCUAGCAGUAUGUCAUGGUUACCCAAGGUAAUCAGAAGAGGUGGAGAACCUAUUCAGUUUAGGAUUACAAUGCAAUACGGUCUUUCUCUAAUACAAUACUCUUGACCACAUUGUUUGGUUUGAUAGUUUAUUCAUGUCUACUAUCCAAUGUGAUUCAUUUACUUAUAUGAUUACUUUGAAUGUGAUUUGAAAUGACUUCCUAAAUCUUAUUCAUACUCUGGCCAGAGAUUCUUAAUCAUAUCAUAGAGUAUUCUCCCUCAAACGGUUUGAAGGUUAGAGAUCCCUUGUUGCGCAUUCAUUUGCCUCCAUGGCUAAGUGGCUUAACCCCAACUAUGCCGUGGACACCUCUGACAGAGUGACUUUGACAUAGUCAAAGAUCAAGGACUUUACCACAAGACAACUAUGAUGCCUCAGGUCAAAGGACUACUUUGCAUUAUCCCAACCAUGAGUUCUCAUGUGACAUGAGUAUGAGAACUCCUCGUUGAUCGUGUUCAGUGGACUCAUUCUCUAUUGAGCACCUACAUGCUUGUCUUGGUGUCAAUCACACCAAUGACUCGAGACCAGUCACUCUCCCUGAGAGAAGACACAACACGUACUAAUCUUAACGGACUGUCAAUGCCCAAUUGACAAUCCUAUGAUCAGGAACGUUUAGGAUAUGUAUAUGAAAGAGAAUGGUCUCAUGAAUCUAACUUCUUUAAAUUACAUUCUCCUAAUUACAUAUUCCUUGGACUUAUCGUUUAAGCAUAUAACAUUUAUAUGAGACCCUUAAAACAAUAAUCUUUGCCCUUGAUAUUAAACUAGAUUAGUUUAACAUGUGAAAUGUCCGUAAAGUAUCAUCAUAUGAUUGGUUUUAGGGCACAUUUCCAACAGAAACAAAUAGCUAAGAGGAAAAAAAAAAUGAUUGUUCACGAGAUGGAAUUGGAAUAACGAGGCAGAUAAUCAUGUAAUCACUCAGUUCGGAGCUUUUUGUUCUCUUGCAUCAAAUUUACAGCGUCGUGAUCUUUCCGCUAGUCUCCAGUAGGACUCACUAGCUACAAAAAAAUAAAACGCAUAAAAACAAGGAAAUCAGAGACAAUAUUUUCAUUCAAAAAUCUUGAGAGCAAACACAUAUCUUAACAGACUAGAAGGACCAUGAUUACACUGGCUAACACAUAAAUACCAAUGAGUAUUACAUUUAUUUCUAAAGAUUCAAAUUUGAUAGCUUAAAGCCUUAAGCUACAUCUAUACUAGGGGCAAUUUCCAAAUAUGCACAUGCAAUGGGAGAGUUCUCUAGUCUUGCAAGGUGAAUGAUGUCACUUUACUUUUUGAAACCGAACCAAAAUUGUUUGAAACCACACCAAAUAGAAACCAAAUGGUUUGUUUCCAUUUUGGUUUUAGCAUCAAAACCGCAGCGAAUCAAACCAAACCACAAAGAAUUUUGAUUUCGGUUUCAGUUUCACCCAAGAUCGCACCGAACUAAAUAAUGCCCACGCCUACUGUAAAUCAAUACUCUUGAUAGUUUAUUGAUAUCUACUAUCCAACGUGAUUCUAUUGUUUAUAUGAUUACCUUGAAUAUGAUGUGGAACGACUUCCUAAAUCUCAGUCAUACUUUGACCAGGGAUUCUUAAUCAUACCAUCGAGUAUUCUCCCUCAACAGUUUGAAGGUUAAAGAUCCCUUGUUGUACAUUUGUGUGCCUACAUGACUAAGUAGCUUAACCCCAAGUAUGUUGUGGACAUCCUCAAAUGGAAUGCCAUUAACAUAGUUAAAGAUUAUUGACCUAACCUCAAGACAACUAUGAUGUCUUAGGUCAAAUGACUACAUUGGAUUAUCCCAACUGUGAGUUCUCAUGUGACAUGAGUAUGAGAUCUUUUGUUUGAUCACGUUUAGUGAACUCAAUCUUUAUUGAGCACCUACAUAAUUGUCUUGGUGUCAUUCACACCAAUGACUUGUGACCAAACAAUCUUAUCCGGAUUGUCUAUGCCUAAUCAGCAAUCUAUGGUUUGAAAUUUUUAGGAUAUGUGUAUGAAAGAGAAAUGUCUCUUGAAUCUAAUUUCUUUAUAUUACAUUCUCUUAGUUACCUAUUCCUUGACUUAUUUUUUCAGCAUAGAACAUUUAAUGAGACGGCUCUAAAAAUAAUCUUUACCCUUAGAUUAAACUAGUUUAGUUUAAUGUGUGAAAUGUCCGUAAAGUAUCAUCUUAUGAUUGGCUUUAGGACACAUUUCCAACAUGUACUUGUGUGGAGGGUGAUUCCAAACUCGUUAUUGAUGCGGUUUAGGGCCUUUGCGAUGUUCCUUGGAGACUUAUACCACAUCAAGGACAUUCUACGAUUGACUUCCUCUUUUAGUUUGAUCCAAUGGACUCAUAUUUUUAGAGAAGUAAACAUUGUAGCUAAUGCCAUUGCGUUUGCAGGCCUUUCUUUCCAAAUAUCCAUAGCUGGGAUAAAUAUGUUCCAAAUGUGCCCUAUAAUGCUCUUUUAUUUGAUUUAUUGGCACUGAUUAUACUAGAGGUUUUUGGCCCCACCUGAUUGUGGGUCUAGUGUUGAAAUGGACAAUGUACUUGGAGUUCUAGCUUGCAACCAAUAACAAGAGGAGAAGUUUUUCAGUGUACCAAGAAUACAAUACAGUACACAAGUAUCAUAAUACAAUUAAUUGAAAUUUUGUUUUUUUUUUCAAAUUUCAACCAAUUGUAUUAUUAUAUUUGGUGUACAUGGCCUUGUUCCAGGCACAUUGAAAAAUCUCGAAUCAAAGAGCAUACGUCCAUCACCAUUUCUCUGUCCAACCAAACAAGAGACUUUUCAGUGUGCUCGAAACUCAGAUACAUAUGUCAUAUAUCAUUAUACAAGUUGAGGGAUGAUGAGUCCAUUUUAUACUAUAUAUUUUCCCCUAUUCUUGGUAUAUUUUGGUGAGAUUUUGAUACUUUAUUAUGUAUUUUCAAUGUAGGACAUGCGAAUCCAUUUUAGGUAUAAAGUCAAACGGUGGAAUUUUUGAGUGAUUCCAAUUGGAACGGGUUUGUGAGUCUGUUAAGAAAGUUGUGUCAAAAUUUCAGAAUUUUAUCCCAAAGCAUCUAAUUGUGGCGAAUUAAUUUGUGCUCAGUGCGUGGUGCUGGGAGAUUGGGCUGCAGAGCUUAUUUGCGACUUUUGGGCUAGAAGAUGAUGCAUUUUGGACUUGGGCUCUUUUAGGAACUUGAAGAGGAGGUUCUAAUAUUUGAUUCGUUUUGGGCCCAUUUUGGAGCCCUAAAGGUCCAGAAACGUGGCUAUUUUCUACUGGACAGAUUUCCUGGUCAGAUUUGGUGUCUGUUUUUAAGUUAUCUUUUUAUUAUUUUGCUUCCUAGUUUAUCGAGAACGUUUUCUAUAAGGGAUUUUAAUGUGUAGUAUUAUGAAUAAGACUUUUUAGAGAACUUAACAAAGUUUUGGAGAAUUUCAGACUUUUUACCUACAAGGUGUUUUCAAUCAUUUUCUAGUUAAUGGUAUUUUCUUUGGUUUUCAUUAUAAGUAUGCGUAACUAAAUCCUUCUGUUAUGAGUCUCAGCAUGAAUAUGUAAUUUUAUUAGUUUGCUUAUGAAUGGAUGCAUGUUUGCUUUGAAUUAUUAAUCAUCGUGUUACUACUAUCUAAUUGUCUUAAUGUUUAGCUACAAUUAGGGUAAUUAGACAAGUAAUUUGAUGCAAUUUCUGUUGGAACAUCACCCCGAAAUUGAGGAGGGCUUCUUGUGAUUAGUAAUUGUAAGUUCACUUAAGGCAAACAUCACGCUCUUAAGGGUUGCAUGGUUAUUCAAAGAAUUUUCACAAAAUUUAAUGAGUCUUGCAUGUUUAUAUUUGAUCUGAACAUUACAGACGGGUUGCAUGUUAGAUUUAUGUUUUCGCUUGAACAUCACAAAGAAAAUAUAUAUUAGAAAAACCUAACCUUUAAAGCACGUAUGUGGAAAUUCAUAAGUGAUUGGUAAAAUUGCAUAGUAUUGUUAAUGAUGAUGGCGGAACCGUAGUCUUUCUCAUAAUUAUUUUAAUUUAAAAACGUUUUCCUUCUUGCUGCCAUUAUUUCCAAAUUUUUAGAUUUUUUAUUGUUAAUUUAAGCUUUUAAAAUAAAAAAUUCUUAAAUCUUUGAUAAAAUCUGUUUUGAAUAAUUAAUUAAGAAUUAGUUUAAUUUUAAAUUAGUCAAACAAUCAUGAUAGAGAAUGAUCUUGCAUGAGCGCUUAUAUUAUAAUUUUAUUUUUUACAUUUCUAAGUAUUUUACGUGAUUUUAACUCUAUUUGCAUAUGUACUUAAAAUUCUAUCAAGGAACACUUAAAAAAAACUUUUGUUCACUUAAAUUAUAACAUAUGACGUAUCACCACGUGUUCAGAUCAACUUGAAAAAUCUCUCCAUUCAGAACUAGAUCCCCUUCGGAUCCAAAAAGAUUUGAGCCCACUAAUCA